AUGAAUCACCGAUCGUUCAUUCGUCAUAUGCAAAGCAACUACAUCCAAUGCGUUGUUUCAGGCGGUCAGCCUCCAAACCGCAAGUUCUUUUUUUAUGGUCAGAAAGCUGGGGCUGAUGCUUUCUACCUUGUAGAAUGCAAUGUGAACCCAGCAUCAUCCGAAGCCCAGCUCAAAAUUAAGGCCGACGAUGGGGCUACUGCGGAGGCCUUUUCUACUUUGUUUCAAUCAGUGUUGUCUGAAUUUGGGCUUUCUUGA
Molecule: ribosomal RNA, 255 nt
Filed under: Triticum aestivum (bread wheat)
Lineage: Eukaryota; Viridiplantae; Streptophyta; Magnoliopsida; Poales; Poaceae
Description: partial small subunit ribosomal RNA
Source: RNAcentral